RNAcentral lists this non-coding RNA (24 nucleotides) under Cricetulus griseus (Chinese hamster). Lineage: Eukaryota; Metazoa; Chordata; Mammalia; Rodentia; Cricetidae. The record is from RNAcentral.
UAGUAGAAAUGUCAGGGUUGGUGA